GACGAACGCUGGCGGCGUGCCUAAUACAUGCAAGUAGAACGCUGAAGAGAGGAGCUUGCUCUUCUUGGAUGAGUUGCGAACGGGUGAGUAACGCGUAGGUAACCUGCCUUGUAGCGGGGGAUAACUAUUGGAAACGAUAGCUAAUACCGCAUAACAAUGGAUGACACAUGUCAUUUAUUUGAAAGGGGCAAUUGCUCCACUACAAGAUGGACCUGCGUUGUAUUAGCUAGUAGGUGAGGUAAUGGCUCACCUAGGCGACGAUACAUAGCCGACCUGAGAGGGUGAUCGGCCACACUGGGACUGAGACACGGCCCAGACUCCUACGGGAGGCAGCCGUAGGGAAUCUUCGGCAAUGGGGGCAACCCUGACCGGGCAACGCCGCGUGAGUGAAGAAGGUUUUCGGAUCGUAAAGCUCUGUUGUAAGUCAAGAACGGGUGUGAGAGUGGAAAGUUCACACUGUGACGGUAGCUUACCAGAAAGGGACGGCUAACUACGUG
RNAcentral lists this ribosomal RNA (497 nucleotides) under uncultured bacterium. RNAcentral describes it as "partial 16S ribosomal RNA". It matches the Rfam family "Bacterial small subunit ribosomal RNA", at positions 28 to 507 of the family's 1533-position model. The record is from RNAcentral.